This is a long non-coding RNA of Amphibalanus amphitrite, 568 nucleotides long. RefSeq lists it as uncharacterized. The transcript has 3 exons. NCBI's taxonomy places the organism in Eukaryota, Metazoa, Arthropoda, Thecostraca, Balanomorpha, Balanidae. The record is from RefSeq and is a predicted model, not a curated record.
GCUCUUGUCUUUCAUCUUCGAGUCAUGACGGAAGGACCGUUACGUGAGCUUCAGGAAGAAGAAGUAGAGAUGUUGCUCCACUUAGAGGAGGAGCAUGCCCAAGCAGUGGCAGCAUUACUCAAUGGUGAAGAUGAAGAAAUGCCUGAAGAAAUACUUCAUCACAUCCAGGAUAUAAGAGAUGAUCAAGCUGAGAGAGUGAGAGCGAGAGGCUAUGUGGUAGCCACUGUACCAGCCUACCUUGAUGAUGACUUCCGUGGGCAUUUCCGGAUGACUCGACACCAGGUGCAGCAACUGCAGGAGGACUUGGGCGCGGCAGGGGCGUACGCCGAAGACCAUGGCGGAAGGGAGCCCAUUUCUCCAGGCAAAGCACCAUUGGUCCUUCUGUGGACUUUAGCCAAUCAGGACACUAUUCGGAGCAUUAGUGACAGGUUCGAUCUUACCAAGUCGAGUGUAAUACGCUCGAACCGACGCUUGACGAAUGCGAUCGUAAACGACCUGCUCGGAGAACACGUGAAGUGGCCAAACAACACUGCAGCUGGUGCGAUCGACUGUGCUGGGGGCAUCGAGA